RNAcentral lists this ribosomal RNA (482 nucleotides) under Tremella cerebriformis. RNAcentral describes it as "eukaryotic LSU rRNA". The stretch from base 144 to 297 matches the Rfam family "5.8S ribosomal RNA". Lineage: Eukaryota; Fungi; Basidiomycota; Tremellomycetes; Tremellales; Tremellaceae. The record is from RNAcentral.
UCUUGGUCAUUUAGAGGAAGUAAAAGUCAUAACAAGGUUUCCGUAGGUGAACCUGCGGAAGGAUCAUUAGAGAUUUGCCGUGAGGCUACACACACCCGUGCAUCACAUGCAUAUGUAACGAACGUCAUAACAUUAAUCAGUACAACUUUCAACAACGGAUCUCUUGGCUCUCGCAUCGAUGAAGGACGCAGCGAAAUGCGAUAAGUAAUGUGAAUUGCAGAACUCAGUGAAUCAUCGAAUCUUUGAACGCACCUUGCGCCCUCUGGUAUUCCGGAGGGCAUGCCUGUUUGAGUGUCAUGUGGACUCAACCCCGAGGUUUCUUGGGUGUUGGACUUGGGUGUUGCCUCCCGGCUCGCCUCAAAUGCGUUAGUGGUUCCGGUGUUUAAGUACCGUCGGCCCGCUCAUACAACCAUCUUUUGACUUCUGGCCUCAAAUCAGGUAGGACUACCCGCUGAACUUAAGCAUAUCAAUAAGCGGAGGAA